Molecule: long non-coding RNA, 1745 nt
Filed under: Gossypium barbadense (sea-island cotton)
Lineage: Eukaryota; Viridiplantae; Streptophyta; Magnoliopsida; Malvales; Malvaceae
Description: long non-coding RNA (GBAR_LNC019171)
Source: RNAcentral
CUUAAUCACAAUAUAACAUACAUAUAUUUUAACAUAAAGUAACCAAUGUCAUCAUUAAUUUUGUUACAAUUAUUUUGUAAAAUGACAUACAUAACAUCCUAGGUACAUGCCAUUACCAAAAGAAAUGUUCACCACCACAAUUAGUUCGGAAUCGGCUUUGGAUGCUGAUUCAACGAUCUGACUUUAACUUAACCUGCGCACGGAAACAACCGUACGCUGAGUAUGAGUAUACUCAGUGGUAUUACCAUAAUUCAAAUUAUAAUAGAAAUAAAGAAUUAUAAUUACCAAGCAUGUAACUAUCCAAUUUCCUAAAUAUCAAUUAAUUCAUCAAUUUUCAUUACUUGACAAUAACAAUACAAUUUUUAGCUAUUUUUCAAUUUCAAUCACAUAUCACCAUUUUAAAUUUUCUCAUAUUUAAUACGACAAUCGAUCAAAUUCAUUUGAUUUUCUCAUUUCAAUUAUUCACCCUAUUAACAAGCUGGACUUUGACGGACACAUGGAUUCCAACCCAACACAUCAGUACGGCACAUUGUGCCUAAAACGGUACAUAGUACCUGAUCAGUAGACGACACAUAAGUGCCUGAAACGACACACGAGGUGCCUGAUACGACACAUAAAGUGCUUGAGAUACGACACAUAAAGUGCCUGAUCGGCAAAGCCGAUAAAUCCCGUACUCUUCUAAAUCCUAAGGCAUGCCAACUAUAUCCAACUUAGCCCGACUAGUUAAUAGGGUAUUCAAAUUCUCAAUUCACUUUUAUUUUCAAUUCUAGAUCACUUUUCCACUUUCUAAUCAAUUGACAAUUUAAUACCAAUACAUAUUUCAAAUAAUCACAUAUAAUCAUAUUUCGAUUCAAUUCAAACCACUUUUCAAUCAAUGCACAAUUCACACAUAUUCAUAAAUUAAUUCACUUUAUUUAAUUCAUAUUUUAAAUUCAAUUUCCAACUAAAUUCAAAUCACUAAUUACUUUUCCAUCAAUAUACAUUUCUACUACUCACACACUUCCAUCAUUCAAUUCAAAUCACUAUUAUCAUUUCAAUUGCUUAACUAAUUUUACUUACCAUGCAUUUUAAUUAAAAUAUAACAAUUAAUAAUAAAUAGAUUUGAAUUAUAGUAAUACAAACCGGAAUUCUCUUCGGAUUUAAUCCUCGAUGAUCUUUUCUUUUCCUUUUUGGGCCGAUGCCUCAGGCUCGAUAUUAGCUACGAAUAAUUAAGAUAAUUUCACAAUCAUUAGCACAAAACAAUUUAAUUGCCGAAAUUUUUAUCUAACUUUUACUUUAAUUCUAAUUUAAUCCUAACUAACCUAUAUAUUUUUCUUUCUCAAUCCAUACCUUUUUACUACUUAAUUUCCUACCAAACUCACAUUUAACUAUCUAACUUUUAUCAUGUUUUUCAUAAUUUCAAAUUUAUUUCAAUUUAAUCCCUAAAAUUCAAAACUUAUAGUUUAGUUUACAAUUCAAUCCUUUAUUCAAUUCCAAAUAAAAUUUCUAUCAAAUAAAUCCCUAAUUUAACAAUUUAUUCAACAUGACCCAUGCUAAAAAAAAACUAUAAACUUCCAAAACCUCAACUUAUUUUCAACAAAACUUUAUUUUAAAACUUCUAAAACAUUUAAAAUUAAAAGAAAAGGACUUGAUUAAACUUACCUUUAAAGCUUUAAAACCUUAAAACCUCAAUUUUCCCUUUUCUUUCUUUCUUUUCUUCUUUCCUUCCUUCCUUCUCUGUUUCGUUUUGCCCUCUGUUUCUUUUU